This 387-nucleotide ribosomal RNA is filed under the name uncultured bacterium. RNAcentral's name for it is "bacterial SSU rRNA". It matches the Rfam family "Bacterial small subunit ribosomal RNA", at positions 30 to 416 of the family's 1533-position model. The record is from RNAcentral.
AUUGAACGCUGGCGGCAUGCCUUACACAUGCAAGUCGAACGGCAGCACGGGAGCUUGCUCCUGGUGGCGAGUGGCGAACGGGUGAGUAGUACAUCGGAACGUACCCUGAAGUGGGGGAUAACGUAGCGAAAGUUACGCUAAUACCGCAUAUUCUGUGAGCAGGAAAGAGGGGGAUCGCAAGACCUCUUGCUUUAGGAGCGGCCGAUGUCGGAUUAGCUAGUUGGUGAGGUAAAGGCUCACCAAGGCGACGAUCCGUAGCGGGUCUGAGAGGAUGAUCCGCCACACUGGGACUGAGACACGGCCCAGACUCCUACGGGAGGCAGCAGUGGGAAUUUUGGACAAUGGGCGCAAGCCUGAUCCAGCCAUGCCGCGUGAGUGAAGAAGGCC